GACGUAGGGCGCGAGCGUUGUCCGGAUUUAUUGGGCGUAAAGAGCUCGUAGGCGGCUUGUCGCGUCGUCCGUGAAAACCCACAGCUCAACUGUGGGCUUGCGGUCGAUACGGGCAGGCUAGAGUUCGGUAGGGGAGUCUGGAAUUCCUGGUGUAGCGGUGAAAUGCGCAGAUAUCAGGAGGAACACCGGUGGCGAAGGCGGGACUCUGGGCCGAUACUGACGCUGAGGAGCGAAAGCGUGGGGAGCGAACAGG
This 253-nucleotide ribosomal RNA is filed under the name uncultured bacterium. Its description in RNAcentral is "partial 16S ribosomal RNA". It matches the Rfam family "Bacterial small subunit ribosomal RNA", at positions 524 to 776 of the family's 1533-position model. The record is from RNAcentral.